UCUUAAGAUGCAUACAGAUUG
RNAcentral lists this non-coding RNA (21 nucleotides) under Arabidopsis thaliana (thale cress). Lineage: Eukaryota; Viridiplantae; Streptophyta; Magnoliopsida; Brassicales; Brassicaceae. The record is from RNAcentral.